This is a long non-coding RNA of Mustela lutreola (European mink), 853 nucleotides long. RefSeq lists it as uncharacterized. The record is from RefSeq and is a predicted model, not a curated record. The transcript is spliced from 3 exons. Lineage: Eukaryota; Metazoa; Chordata; Mammalia; Carnivora; Mustelidae.
GGAGAGGCAGAUGGCUGUGCGCUAAUUCCUGAAGUAUCCUUCUGGGGACCAUUCGCCCCCGCUCCCCCGCCGACAUCCCACACAGGACCACAGUGACCAGGUCCCCUCGGAGGGAGACUCUGUCCGCGGAGGUGGAGCGCCGCCGCCUGCCCGCGGGGUCGUCGGGCCCGGGCCCCGCGGUGGGCACCGUCAGGAGGACUGCAUCAGGCCGGUGAGCCGCUUGCCCGCCAGCGACUUUCCCUGCAGAGACAGGCGACAGAGUUGGCACGCACAGGCGCGCAGGUGCACACACACACACACACAGACGGGGACAGAGACAGAGAGCCAGACAGGUGAAUUAAUUGCUGCAAGAGCCACAGAGGCCAAAGGACUUCGCUACCUGACCCUGUUGAUCUCUGGGUUUGGGAGCCCUGACUGCAGACAGCCGGAACCACAGGCCUCUGGGAGGCAGGUGAGGUGUGAAGCCUGUGCCGGUUCCCUGCUCACCCUCUAAAGGAAGCCAGAACAUCGGACAGGGGUCUAGAGGAGAGCCUGGCUAGAUCCGAGCAGACGGAUCACUAUGCCUGAGAAAAUACUCAAAACCCAUGCUGUUACUGACAGCCGGUCGGCGACACUGUCGCCAUCUGUGAAGGGGAGCACGUGUCCUCAUCGGCAUGGGCUGCGGUGUUUGGUACUGAGAGGCCGCAAGGGCCAGCGGUCCCUCGUGUUCAUUUCCAAGUGGGGUGUGAGGGCUCAUCUUGUUUACUGGGCUUGGCUGCGUGCAAGCUGGAUGUAAUUAAAAGAAAUUGAUCAGGUUUGAGAAGCCUGGUAGAGUACUCAAUAAACUGGCUGAUUGAUGAAUUGAUGGAUAAUG